RNAcentral lists this long non-coding RNA (12150 nucleotides) under Megachile rotundata (alfalfa leafcutting bee). RNAcentral describes it as "uncharacterized LOC105661876, transcript variant X2". The record is from RNAcentral. Lineage: Eukaryota; Metazoa; Arthropoda; Insecta; Hymenoptera; Megachilidae.
UCCGGCGGGGGUGGUGGAGGCAGAAACUGACUGAAGGAUGGAGAGAACCCUUGCGGAGUAACGAGGAUAGCCGGAGAUUUCAAGCGAGAGCAAAAGAACGGCAGAAAACACGCGAGAGAUAGAGGAUAUAUGACAAAGAGGAGGAAGGAAGAGCGAGCACGAUGUAUAACGUGGACGAGACGGAGAGGAUCAGAGAAAAAGGAGAUGAAAGGUGGAGCAGAAAGAGAAAGAACAGUCUGGCUAUGUGUGCGUUACGAGAAUCGAAGUGGAAGAAAGAGCAGGAGAUAUAUGGGUAGUGAUGGACUUAAGAGAUCUUGAACCAGACAUCAAUUGAAUGGAACUAUCUCGUAACCUCAAAGAAUUAUUGCAUUGAAAUGGAACACCUUUAUUAUUGAACUGCCCAAUCCUCUCUGUAUCUCUGCAACGAUCCCCUAAUAAAAUAUAGAAGAUAAUUUGAUGCAUACUUUGGUAAUCUAUAUUAAAUUUUCAUCAAAUUAGAUGACAGUAGUCAGAUAUAAUUUAUCAUUCAAGGUUGUUACGAGGGAAGAUUGCUCGAAAACGCAGCAGGGAGAACGAAAUUAUACCUAACGCUCUUGGAUCCAGAAAUGUAGAGACGUAGUGUGAGGUUGGAUAGAUGAGAUUGAUUCGAACCAAUGUCCAAGUUUGAUUUUUUGUUCUGUCUAAAUUUGCGAGUUUAUAAAAUUUGAGUUUACAAUUUUGUAAAGUCAGACGUAUAGAAAUGUAGAAAUUUGGAAAUUUUCAGUUUGGAAUUGAGUGACUCCCGCAAUGGCCUCCUCCCCUGAAGGAUAUGCUCUAUCCCUAUUCCUAGAUUCAUGCCAUCGCUGGAUAGAAAGCAGCGGACUGUGUUGGAGGAAGCGAGAAGAAUGGAACAGGGACAGAUAGAUAACGAUGAAGCGGGAACGAAGUAAGGGGAACGGUGGGGCUGGUAGGGAGGAUAGGAGAAAGAGCGAAAGAGGGAGGGAACGGAGGGCACAGAGGGAGUCGAGUGCAGCGGCCUGGCCGCCUAUACUCUGCGUGACUAUAGGCAGUCCGGCUAGGCUAGAGUCCGCGUAUAAUGUAUUCUCGAAUAUCGUGCACUCUCUCAUGAUCAAUAUAAGCUCCGACGCGGGCCGGAGAUGCACGAAGACCCACCUCCUCCUUCCUCGGCCCGCCCGGACGAUGUUUUUUCGUGCGGAGUGCAACGCACGCUGGAUCGCGGGAACUGCACUCGCUCUUCUCCCCUCUCUUUCACUCCUUCCUCAUUAUCUCCGUUUCUCUCUGACCCGUCGAUUCGUCGGCUCUCGCUCUUUCACCCUCGAUUAUCCGUGACAGUGUCGAAGCGAAAUCGAGGAGGGGACACGACGAUGCAGCGGGAAAGAAUGAAUGUUAUAAUCUUGGGAAUUAUUUAAAUUCUCUCGUUAGCAACUGUUCACGAACGUGUAUGAGAGAAUCGGUGUUCCUCCGGUUAAUGAAUGACGAGAUAAUGCUACCCGUUGCCAGGCAGCUGUUGCAUAGGUACUUUUUACGAUUAACGUCACGGUGAACAGCGGUGCUCGGUUUGUAUACCCGGUAGACUCGAAACUUUUCUACCUGUUGGUUAUUCAUUUAAUACGUCGACGCGUUAUGUGUUCAUUUAUUAGCGAACACGUUUGUAACAGGUACGGAACAAUGGCUUUAACGUAGCAGCGAAGCGUGAUAGACGAGCCGGGGUCGUCCCAAAUGUUCCCGGCAGAGGCCGAGCGAUAUUCACUCAUACGAAUUAAAGUUUGAGCUUACACUUGCCGGACACCUUUGCCAACACUUGGUUCCUCUGCUUAUUGACUCCUGCUGCUCUCCGCAACCCCUUCAUCAACCUUUCGAGAGUAAUGAAGCUUGUGACGACAAAUAUUUAACAUACAUGGGCCUAACCUCUUGGACCCGCUUUAUGAUCCUUCAUCUAUGACGUUCACGUGCAAUUAAGUUUCCUCCCGCAGUUCAUCUUUGACCAAACGAAGGACCUCGUCGAAGAGCCCCUAUUCUGGCAACGAGGUCAAUGUUUUCGAAUCAAGAUGCAAAAUGAAGGAGCGGAUCAGUGAAGGGCAAAAGGGCAAGGAGGAAAGGAGAUAACCACUGCACGAAAGGUAGAACUGGCCAGAGAAAGAAAAUUGGUAGAGGCAGGCCCGUGCACGUUCCAGAAAACUGGCCGCCAUGUCGGUCUCCAUCGCCCCCACUACGAAACACGUAUAGCCACGAGAUAUCGUCCGUUGCACUUUUCAAGCUCUCGUGCGAACGCACCGUAUUAUACGUGUGUGCAAGUACGAAGCGUCGAGGAGCUCACACGCAUCCACCAAGCAUACGCGUAGUCGCCGCUCUCCACCCGUGAGAGGAGAGACUGGUCCGUCCGACGUACUGGGAAAUAAAAUUCUCUGGUGACAUUCUGUUGUCACAUCUACACUCAACUUCGUGCUAAACGUUAUGAAUUCCUUCAGGUUGACGUUUCAAUCUUUUAACAUAUUACACACCUCUCAACUAACUCAUUAACUGCCAACUUUUCUAUCUCGUUAACUCAUUUAACAUGCUUUCAGGUUGAUCAGGCAAUUAGCUAACUAUUCGAUACGAAGAUGCUGACGUUGAUAACACUGAAAUGUUACUGCUAACUCGCUGUAUUGAUAAUGUUAUUAAGAUAUCGUUCUAUAAGAUGACUAAAGUAGUAAAGAAUGAUAACAUAUGUCAAAUUAGACUACACGAGUUUAAACAAGGAUACUUUAUCCUUAAGGAUUAUCUUAACAUUAUCAAUGUACCGUUAAGUAUCGAUAACAUGUCGGUAAUUUGUGGAUAGUAAUCGAUAUCGACACCUCUACGUGGUUUCCGUUCCUCUGUCACAAGAUUUCCUUCCACAAACAUGAUCCUGUGGUACAGAAAGAAUUUCGGUAAAUAUGUUUCAGUAUUCGUUAAAAGAAAACAGUAGCAUUUGAAGUUAACCAAACGUUUACCCGGUGUUACAGAAUUAUUUGUAGAAGCGAUUCCCCUGAUCUGGCAAACAUGUAACAGAAAAAGAGAGAGACGUCAGUGAAAAUUAGGUAGGGUUAGAACGACGUUGCGGGCGGGAUUUUCGGUGCAUGCUGGCUGAUUUUCUAAGGCGACCUUAGGUGGGAUAACGGACUCUCUCCCACUCGUUGCAACGAGCUGGCAACGCCAUUGGCAAGUGGCAACGCUGGCUGACAGGCCGGUGGGAGGGGUAUAACAGUGAGACUAUAGCAAUGUGGAGUGGGGUCGAUGGUCCCCCACUAGUUACGCCACUGGCAGUGAAUUUCGCACGGGCAAACCAGAACUGCGAAACAGAGACGGAACGCGACAGACCACCAAGCAAAGGGGGUGAGAGAGCGAAGACAGACCGAUAGAGAAAGAGAGAAGGCAGCCAUGUGCGCCUGAGACAGCCUCGACUUUGCAACUAGGAACAUUCGGCUCGUUCUCGUUCCCGUUCUCCUUCGCGCCGAAUUCGUGCUAGCGAGUAAGUACGUUUACCCUGUCGAGCCUCCUUCUACCCUCGUUCAGGCAACCUCUCUACCCAGCAACCUCCCCUCUCUUCCCUUCUUGCUCUGUCUUUCUGUCUCUGUCCCUCCUCUUGCCACCCCCGCGGAAAAGCAAAUUCUCUCCGUGUCACUGAACCCGGCCGUCUGACCCCGUCGUUCGGUUUUUCCGCACGAAGUGCCUCGACCUCGUCCGGAAGUAGGAUGAGCGGACUCUUCUCCCUUGCUCGGUUAUCCGUAUCAGGAACUCGAUUCUAGACAGUUGUCUCGAAUCGAGCCAUUUUUUCCUCCCAUUGCCAUCUAGAAACAAAGUUUCUAGCCAAACCUACUGCCAGUAUCUUACAAUUUUUUCUUUGCAGGAAAACUUGUCACACCGUCCAAAAAGCUCACCUUUAGAAAACAUUGGUCUAAGAGCUAGAAAAUUCUUCUUCUACAUUGUUCGAGUUUCCUGAAAACAUAGGGAGGUAGAUGAUGCGAACCCUGUCGCGUCUGGAACUCGAAUGCAGCUCGCGGUUGAUCGUUUUCGAGACCGAAGGUGCAAGCUUCGUUCCGUCGUUCCGCUCGUUCCUCCGUUCCUUCUGUCCACGUUCCGUCGUCCAUCGGUUCGUUCGCUCGUUCAACCGGCGUCUCACGGCACGCAGUCUGUCGCUGUCACCGACGAAGCUCGCUUGUCGCGCAGCCGUAUGUUCGAAAAACGAGUCAAGUUUUUAUCAGUUACGUUAUUUUUAUUGCAUCUCUCAUUUUUUAGUUUGUAGUGUUUCAAAGUUGUUCGCUAACAUCGAAUACCCAUUCAGGUAAUUCUUCAAAAACGGAUAAGUGUAUAUUCUUCGUUAAUAUCCUUUCAUCAUCGUCCUUCCCGAUUACGUUCCGACGUUUUUUAAUUGUAAAAAUCAUUUUGUUUAUCGAACCGUUUAUUUGUCGAAGCAGUAGAGUUCCUUGCCCUCUCGAGAGCACCAGACAUCCCCUAACCACCUCCAGCUCGAUCAUGGGGUACCAACCUUCGCUCUUGUCAAUUUCCAAAAGAGAUUUUCGUUACCAGAUCAUUUGAUUUCCCCGAAAAUCAUUUCAGAAAAGCCGGUGACCGUGAGACGGCGAGCUUCGCAACCGAAUCGAGAAUUUUCUGGACUCGAGCUUUUCCCGAUACCACUCGCGCGAGUAGAGGCUCUGACUUGCCGCGAUGUGCACGCGUCCGCCGCGAAGAAAGAUGACAUAGGAUCUUCCGACGAAUGGUGACGCGGGUGUCCGGCAAGUGGCAGUGUUUUUCUCUCCAGAAAAUCUGAAAUCGCCGAUUUCCUCUUGAUAGUGUGAGUCGUGCCUCGUAAUACAUGGUGUCGGGUGUGUACGUGUGCAGUACAGUGUCCACACAGUGAAUGGCCGUCGUGUGGAGGCCCCUGUGCUUUUGUGGCAGCCCCGUGGAUAGCUCUAGAAUACCUGGCUACACUUGAUGGGAUAGUCUCCUGUGGACAAAGAUGCGAAUUUCUAUGUCGAUGAAUAUUUGAACGUGAACAAGGAGCUUUGAGAAAGCGUUGGCAGCUCGUAAUUCAAUUUCUCUUUCGAACGAUAAGGAGAGAACGGCUGGAAAUACUCGGAGAGGUAGUCGUGAUAUUCCAUUGUGUCGUGUUUUCCCCAUCAAGGGGCAUUGACAUUGCUUUGUUUCCAGAAACAACAUGUUCUAUUCUUCGUACACUGGGUUACAAGUCGUAAAUGAGAUAACAAUAGAGACAUUGUAUCGAUGGAUUUGUUGCAGCAGGAAUGUUUACAAUUGCCUUUCGAUUAUGACUUUUGAUUUUCAUUUACUUGCAAACUUUCGAACUGGAUAAAUUGUCCGAUGCCCUAUACGUAUGUAUCAUCUAUAAGUUUCACGGACGCCAUAUUGAAAUGGCGCGCAGCAACCUAGUUACGUUAAAUGCAAGCCCUCUAGAACUAGUAAGUUUCAACGGAAUACAUAUAAACUUUGAGUAGUUAAACUAAAAAAGUGCGUAUACAAAGAAAUUGUCGUCUAAUGUGCACCUUUCUUUUAUGAAAAGUAUAGGUUAAUUCUUGGAACUACACACUGCCGCCACUGUACCACGAAUAGAGAAACCUGAGUCAAACUAAUUCUCGAGGCAUUAGUUUCGUAAAAUUCAAGGAAUGAAUUGAUACGGUGCCAAAUAGCCUUCAUUAUUUACGCGAGGUCAAUGACACUGAACCACACACUGGCUUAGGUUGAAAUUUCACUUUGGAAUUAUUGGAAUAUAAACGUAGAGCAAAUUAAGCCUGCAUAAAUUGUGACACAACAUGCGAAAGCAAGAUUUACGAUUCCAAUCUGUUUGCGAGUCGUUUGAUUCCUAGGAUCGCUGAAAAUCUAAAAUAACGAGAUCGAUUGAAUCAACGGCUCUCGACGGAACACGAAUAAAAAAUAACAUAAGGCACAGCUAAAGUAUUGAUAAAUACUUGGUAAUUCGAGAUUUAUCGCUGCACUCCUGGAACUCGAGCACAUUCUCGCUUCGAUAACUUAUCAUCAUGGCGAUUGCUGCUCCCCGAAAGAACUAUCGCAACAAUGAAAACUGGAGGUCGGCAGAAAACGUUGCAGUGUUGCACAACAGCUAGUUUUUUCUAUUUUUUUCAUACCGCUUUUAACCUUUGACGGUCUUCAGUCGGAUGUGUGUAUACGUUCUUUUGAAAUAUGAUCGUAUUUGUUAUCUUCAGUUUAGAACCGGGUAUUAUAUUACAUAUUAGAGCAUCUACAUCUUCGCUCGAUACUUCUUUUAAAUGUAAUCGAUACUCGCUAUUGAGUCAAGAGUAUAAAUGUUCGUGUCGAGUCAAAACCCAUACAAUUUAAUUGAAUGUAAUUCGAUUCGAUUUGACUCGAUAUGAUUCAAUUCCUUGUAAUACAAUUUGGCGGGAAUUUCACUCGAUUCAAUUCUGUCAGAGUUAAUUUACCACGAUUCUAUUCCACCAAAUUCAAUCUGACGCUUUUUAAUUUCGCUCGAUUCAAGUCCACAUUCGAUACAAUUCACCUCAAUCCGGUGUGGUUUGACUGGGUACGUGUUUCAAUUUCACUCGAUUCGGUGCUGUGCAAUUUAAUUCUCCGUACUCUAAACUCCACAAACACUUGCUCACAUUUACCUAUUUGGAAUUGCUUCCCUGAUGUCCAUUUACACUAAACGGCAGGGACUCGCGCUUGUCCUUCUUGCUCAUUUAAUCUAAAUACGCUCUUAUAGAUGUCGGGAGAAGCAUUUAGAAGAAAUGUAGCGACAGAGGAAAGUCUGAGAGAUCGAGAGCAUCGGAACUCGAAUAAAGAAGGUUCCAUGAAGGGACAGGAAACUGAAAACGACAUCCGCGACCAAGAUCAAUACCUCACCAGUGCAAUGCACUCUUGCGUUCCUAGUUACACCUCUAUUGCCCGCGAAAGAGCGUGUGUUGCAAGAGGCAUAACGUUAGAACACCUACAUCUGAAUAACGGAUAAAAUAAAUGAUCCAUCUUCACACGAGACUCUGUAAUUAUUAAUUGAAAGAGCACAAAAAUCGUGCAGGUAGUUAUUCAAGCACUACCGGAAGUAUAGUUAGGUAACGUUUCUUUAAUUCAGUACCUGUUUGACGCAUGGCUAAGGUUGUUUAUUGUUUUCUGACACAGUAGAACGACGGCCAGCUGGCAAGCUAAACAAUUGUUUCUCGGAAUCGUGGAGUCAAAGCGCGGGUGGCGAAGACCCGCGGAAAAGCAAGAAGACAGGAACACGGAAACGGAAACUAGUUCCGGCCAAGAUCAAUACCUAAGUUGUGCAACAGUCUGGCGCAAGCCUUGUGCCUUGGUUGCGUGUGCUCUGUGCGCCGCAUGCUGCGUGCAACGCCUCGUUGCAACCGGUGCAACGUGCAAUGCCACGAUUUGCUGGCAUCACGAGCACACGCUCGGCUAGCCUCAUCUAGCCAGCUGUUGGCUAGGUCAGUGUAAUCGGUAUUAACACCUUGAUUGCCAUGCCGAACACACGACAAACUCAUUAAGUACUUCUAUCGACAACCAGUCUUCAGUCAUUUGUAAAUCCGAAUUUAACGGAGGGUUCUUGAAACCUAAAUCAGAGGUUCAAUUAAUUGUCUAUGCGUUUGUGAUAUAUUGAGUCAUGUAAUCUAUGAGAUCUUGUAGAUUACAUAAGUUAGACUUUGAUAAAUGCAUAAACACUUGCUACCUAUUAAUUAAGUAAACGUAGGAAUAAUUAAUAUGGAUAAUGGAAAUUUAAACAUCACCUAAGUAUAGUUAACGCGUGUACCUGUUAGUGAUGGAACAAAAACAAUACUGAACUUCUACAAUGCAACCUCACUGUCUCAAGUACUCCUUAAGUACUGUAUAGUUCAAACAUGAAUGAUAUCACAUUUACCGAAUGUAAAAAUAGAUACUGAAAGGUUUGAUCAUUAUGAAUGUUUCCUCAGAGCAAAUAGAAGUCUUAUUAUACUAUAGGCAUUCGUUAUAUUGUCAAUUUCCCUAUUUCAGAGUACUGAGAGUUAUAACUGGAACAAUAUCGAAGAAAAAAGUUGCUGGUUCAUCUAGUUUAUUGUCAAGAAUACCUCACUGUAAUUUUUCUCAAAACUUUUACCUGAACGAGGAGACAAGUUUGUGCCUAUUACGAAACUAGUACUUAUGAGAUUAUACUUGCAUACAUCAUUUUCAUUUUAGUUAAUAAGGAUUCUCUUGAGAGUAGUAAUCAGCGGCAAUUAAAAAUGGAGUCACUCCACAUGUGUCAUUAGACUCCAUGAUGCAGAAGCGGUAGAUUAUGAGUUAUGCAAUAGAUGACGUUGCACGAUUUAUAUUUCUGAACUUCGUACAAUUCCUAUUGGCCCAAAUAUCCGAUUGAAAAGUGACGAUCUGAGGUACGUUAUGACCUUGAGAGUUCCAUUAAUUCCGCAGAAUAUUUACAGUACAUUCUCACAUGUGCAGGUCGUAAUUGGACGGAAACUGCUUACACUUUCCGAUGCACAUCGCUCUUGAAAACCAUACUCCUCUUGCGUACACCGAACAAGAUUGUCGAGGUCAGCUUUUAUGACGUAGAUAUGGCUGUGUGACAUUGGCAGUGAGCUUUAAUCUCGUGGUAUCGAGUUACACCUGCUGACCAGUAGCGAGUCUAGGCCAGAUGCGAUUAACGUGACUUACCAGAUUCACAAAUACGAACACGCUAAUUGACGCUGAUUCGUUACAGCCUUUCAAGGCCGUCGCUGAUAAUUAGUUCUGCUCGGAUACCGGUCACUUCCAUCACGCAAUUAUGAAUUAAUUGGAUCAAUGCCUCUUUUUUUCCUUCUUCAAGUACACGCAAGUUCAUCGGACUCGUAUCAGCUGCAUGGUUUAAUGGAGUUACAAAAAACGACAUCCGGCAAUGUUGCAAUAACGGUUAACUGAAAAGCUUGAAUAGCAGCGUUGCAAAUAUAGAUCCUACAGCUAGAUAUGCGGAGGAUAUAAAUAAACGAACGACGGAGAUAACAGUUUAUACGGAGUGGCCUCAAACGAUCAAACUUUACGCGAAGCAUGUUCUUAAAUUUCUGAAUCUUAGAUACACUGGAUCUAUCCAGAAAUUUUUACGCCUGUAAAUUCCGAUACUGUGGUGAAUUGUGAAAGCGAGUGCAGGUUUCUCGACAGGGAUUAACAAAGCAUUAAGUUAUAGAGAGAUAUACAUUCAAAGCGUUAAAUUAUAAGUUUGCGUUUAAAUUAGAUACGUACACCUAUUUGCGUGUAAUAUUUUAUUUUUGCUCGUGAAACGCUGGCGAAGUUUGAUCGUUUUUGUACACCCUGUUUUUAGAUAAACUGUUUCCUUUUCUCUGUCGCCGCGAUCCUAAUUGGAAUAACCGUCACGAGUUAAAUUGUUAUCAGUCGAUAAGCACGUGCCUGUUACUAUUUUUUUCAACAGUGUGCGUGAGACUGAUGUAACUUUAUUGAAAGCUGGCAAUCCUCGUUGUCCUAUUUCUUUAAACUCGACAAUGUUUUUGUGAUAAAGCAAUCUUAUCGCAUCCACUGUAUUCUACGCUCUGGAAGUUAUGUAACCGAGCAGCAGCUGAUAUCAAAGAGUCGAAGAUUGAAAAUCUGACGGAGCGAUAAAGCGCGCGAAUUUUUGAAGUUUGAAAGACCGUCAGUCAACACGUCGUCGUAGCAAUGUCAUUGUUGAUAUCCCCCAGGAGGCCAGCUACCUAUCGUACACACAACACCCAUCCAGGUUCGUAAUUCGUGAGCCCGGAGAAGGAGAGGGAGAGAUUGCUGGCAGUGCACGUUCGAUCUAGCCGGUCUCUAGUAGAACGCAUGCCAGUCAUUGGUCGGUUUGCUCUAUGUGGUGGGCGGAGAUAGGCGUAUGGGAGUACUAAAUCGAGCCAUGGUGUCCCUUUUUUCUAUCCCUUUCUCACCCCCUCUCUCUCGCAUCUCGCUCCCUCCCCGGGCCUACUCCCCUCCCUCUCUCUUUCAUUCACUCCUUCUCCCUCUCUUCGCCGUACUCUCUCUCCCCUCUGUUUCGAUGAUGGGCAUUCAAUUCUCCAACUUCUGCGAGAUUUUCAACAAUUUUCUACGUGUAGAAUUUACCGAAUUCACCGAUCAAUUCUCUCGAAACCACCCCUCUUAUACAUUUCUACAUCUCCACAUUUUCCCUUCGAUACAAUCAAAAAUUUCAGUACAAUUUGUAUUGUUGUAGGUGUAAUUUAGGAGUACCAGUAUCAAUUAAUGUUUGGAGAAGUUUAGUCGAGACCCCGAGUUCAGAGUUUGCAAUUGCGAACUUUAGACCACUUCAGUAAGUUAUGCUGAUAAUUGAAAUUCUCACAUUCGUCCUAAGAUCGCAGUUAUAUUCGUUUUCUUUUAGACGUAGAAUUCCCACGAUACCGUUUAAGAUAGAAUGCAACUGCAUGCAUAAGAACAGAACUUGAAAAUGGAGUAUCCUAGCAGUUCAGUUGCAUCGUUGAUCCAGUCGCUGGAUGCUUCUCGAGCUGCAACCGAAGGCUAAUACACCUUCAGGCCAUUACUGAAUUCAGUCAAAAAACUUACACAAGCAGCCUUUAAACAAAAAUGGAUACAUGUUGGAUUCUAUGCACCUUAGCUUUCAUGAAGAUGAAAAGGAGGAUCAUUAGAAGGAACUAAGACGUUUAGUAAGGAUAGAGUACCUAUUUGCUGCAAUAGUAUUGAUUUUAUAAUUUAAUGAGAAGAACAUUGAAAACAUUGAACACUGAUAAAGAAGGAAUGAAAUUGUAUCUCGAAAGAGGAUGAAGAAAAGGAAGUAGUCAUUCGAUUCGGAAUAUUUAAAAAAUAUCAUCGCAAGAAGAGAAGAGGAUCAGCAGACGCACGAGGUGCAGGAAAGAGUGCAGCUUUUCGUGUAGCGUACAGAAUUCUGGCUCGACUGCUUCUGCAUCCAGGCCCUUCGCCGCCUUUUAGACCUUAAGUUUCAUUCACACCAAACACUUGAAACUUUCUGAUCUCGCAUGUUUACGAAGGAUCUUUGUAUACUUUGAGUUUAAUUUCGUGCUUAAGGUAACACUUUUGUACAUGACGUAUAGAGACAUUAAUAACUUCGCACUAACAUUUUUUAGUUAUUUAGUUAUAAAACAAAUGAACAUUGUAAUCCCUUUUAACAUUGUAAAUCAGAAAAAUUAAAAUUAGAAUUUAAUAAAAAUUUCUUGUUUCAAUAAUAUUCCAAUCUAAGAAUCCUGUCAAGUUACAAGAAGUAGAAUCACUAUUUAAUAAAAUGUAGAAUAUUUGCUGAUUGGUUGCAUCUAUUUCAGGCGUGAAGAAACGUGCAGACAAAUAAUUGGAAGGACCAGAGGCGAUCUAAUCAUAAAGCAUAAUCGGUCAGUUGGAAAUGGUGCCUAACAUCCCUUAGGGCCGCGCAAGGAGAGCUGCAGAGGCCAUUCAACUGUCUACGAUCGAGCAGGCAGGGGACUUUUACAGCGGCCGGAGUCUACCUACUCUCUGAGCUCUCGUAUUCUUCUUGCUCUUCUUCUCUCUCCGUAUCUUCUUCUUCUUCCUCUUCUCCUUCUUCUUCGUCUUGUUUUCUUGUACAGCUUCCUUUUUCUAUGCCCUCCUGAUCUCUCUACCCGGCAAUGGCGUGGCAAGUCAGGGACCAUGCGUGAGAAAGUCGAGCCUAACAUCUUCCAAAUUAUGCUAAAUUUCUGCCCAAUAAUUGAACAGAUAAUUUAGCCGAAGAUGUUCUUAAGUCACGCGCUCAAAAUUUAUGCCCGAUACUUCGUGAUGACUUUCUUCAAACUUUUUAUUUCUACCUCUUUAUCUUACACGAACCACACUUUGUAACUCUGUACAUUGUACUGCUACAUAUUGUAAUAUUAUCACUGAUAAUACUCACGACGCUACAAUGUGUGAAAUUACAGAUGGAAAUUUGUUUGAUACACUCAUUUUGUUCACUCAUUACAUAAGUAACAUAUACAUUUAACUUGAAUAUAAUGAAGAAAGGAUUUCUUCCAUAACACCAAUUUCCAACGAAUUGCCCCUAAUUACACAGCUGUAUCUCAUAAAGUUGUCUAAUCCAUUAAGAAAACAGAUUUCAGCUCCUCUGCUUGAUUUAUUUAACUUAUGGUACUCCCUUAACUUCAUUAACGUUCAUUUCUUAGUGCUUUGACAUUGUUGGAGACAUUAGGGAGUUCUUGUAGAGAUUAAAGUCAUACGAUAAUAUUACCCUUUCACUGUAACACC